AGACAGAGGGAGGGAGGGAAGGAGGCGGGCAUGGGCGCGGCGCGCAUGCGUCCCCCUACCUCAGCGAGCGCGUGCGCGCGGUGUGUGGUGUGGUGUGUGUGUGUGUGAGAGAGAGGGUCGCCUCGCCCAACAAUAAAAACCCACCGAAACGGCCCCAAAAUUAAUAAAUUAUGACGUAAAAAUGUGUUUUAGUUGUUAUUAGGGGAAGGGGAAAAUGGAGGGGGGGGGGGUUCUGCUGUUUGACUGGGUUGGAGCGCCUCGCCCCGCCCCGCCGCGCCGUGAGGAGGCGGUGGGAAGGCGCUGAGGGCGGCCCGCCGGGGAAGGGGUGAAAGAGGGGGAAAGUAAUAAAUAAUUUAACCGAAAUGAUUUAAAAUAAAUGACCCACAGCCUCUCACACCCACAAGCCUAUCUAUCUUCGUCAUUAAUGGUGCUGCUGCCUGUGGUGGGCUUACUUGGCGCUUCAGAUUCACCGCACGGGAAAGUACCUCUGUGAUCAAGAGGACGUUGUGCGACAAACAUUACCGGGCACUGUAAUGUAACAGCACCAUAGGAGACAUAGGUUUUUUCUUGUCUCACUUCAGGCUGCAUCUGGAAGAGAAGUAUUUUUUUUUCUUCUUUUUUUCCCUCUAACAUUGCAUAUUUCAUGGUUUUGAUGUUCUAAGUAGGAGUGUGGUAUUUCAGUACCUUUUUAUGAGCCCUCAGUGCACGCAGACAAUCUUUUUCCUUUUAGAAACAAACUGAUAUCACAGUUUGAUACUCAGCCUCAGCACAACAUGUUUUUGAGCCUUAAACCUCAUGUUAAUUAGUACAUUGAAGCUCAAAGUCUUCCUGUCAAAUCUUGUUCCUUGCUGUACUGCAUGGCAGUACUUCUACUCAGUUGUCCUAGUCAUGAUCAUUGAUACUUUUGCUACAUUUUAUUAUUUGCACAUCCUGACAGAUUUUCUCAGAACAUGUUGUGUUGUGUUUUUUUGUUUGUUUGUUUGUUUGUUAGUUUGUUUUCUUGACAAUUGGCUUUGGAAAACAUAAAAUUUCUGUGCUGUACUAUUUAAGCAUUGUACAGAACUUAAUAAUUUAAUCAAAGCGUAGUUAUUUUGCUGUUAACUUCUUUAAAUCAAUUUAUUUUGUUUGAGUAUAAUAUACUGGUGCCACUAUAUAUAUUUUAACCCUAGUUAUUCCUAUAUUGUCAAUGAAUUUUCAAAACAACAUGUAUUUGUACUGUGUUUUUCUGUUUCUUAGAUUUCUGGUUUUGGAGCACUUGCCGUCUUCUAACAUAUAAAAUGUUUGUUUGUGACAUGCGUGUGGAAACAUACACACUUCAUCUUGGGUGAUAUAGUGUAUCAGCAACUGAAUUAUUCAAAAGUAACCAUUUUAAGCAAGAGUGAGACCCUUUAGUAUCUCUCUGGAGGCAUUGCACAGCCUCCUGGGCACACCUCGGCCUGCACUAACAGUCAGAAGCUCUUACUUUGGUAAGUCAGUGCCCAACUUUUUGUUCUUUCAGAGCUUCUACAGCGAUGAACCAGAUGAUAUAUUUUUUUCUCCUUGAAUCCUAACAAAGUGCUGUGAUCAUAAGAACUGUAAUGGCUAUAACUUUUUUAGUAUGCAUAGCAUAAGAGAGUCGGGAUAAAAUCAAAUUGCGUGAAAUAAAAACAGUGAAGUAGUACAUCAGACUAUUCAAAUUGCCCUAAUUUCAGUCUUUUCCUGUGGUCAAAUACUUUUCUGCACUUCUUUCUGUGUCUGAGAAAAUACAUAUUCACUGGUGUUCCUUGCUACAGUUUUUUAGCACGUUGCAGGAUUUUACUUUCAGAAAAGCCACCGUGGUUUAACUUGAAGAUGCAUUUUGCCUGCUAAGUUUCGACUGGUAUGCUAACACUUCACAUAUACCUCCCGCAGUAGGUGCUUUAAAAAUAUCCACAGAUAAUGAAAACUUCCCUGGUUCUUCUUAUACCUCCAAGAUGCAACUGUAACUCCUCGAUAACUGUUAGCUUGCAUCUAGCAAAAUGUUUUGCCAAAAGCAGUAUGUUUGAGAGAUCAGGCUCAUCGGUUCAAGACAGAGCACAGUCAAAUACAAUUACACCUGCGCUGGCUUGUUCUCAGAGCAUUGUACUGUGUUUUACACAGUCUCGGGUCAGUACAAAUUUUGAAUUCCGAGUGUUGUGUUUUAAUUUAUUGACAUCUGAAAAUACAUGAGCUAGUCUGAUCAGAUUGAAACUGAUCGGUAAGGAGAAUGUGAAUGGCAGGUCAUGUAUCUGGCAUUAACAAGGAAGGCAUUUGCUACCUAUAUACUCUAAGUGUGUUAUAAAUGGAAAAAAUAUUAAAAAAAAGAUUUUAAAAAGAGGUUAAAUAUGAGUCACAGAGGUGGUGGCAUGUUAUCUCAGCACACAGGAGGCAACAGGGAGUGUACUUUUCAUAUAAUCACAUGGCCGCUGCCCCUUUCUACCUGAAAGAGAUCAGCAGCUGCAAAGGUGUAAGUGGACAUAGGGCUGGGAAAACAGACCAGCCAUGAAAAUAGUCUAUUUUUCCAAAGGAAAUGUUGUUGCAAGCGUCAAAUCACAGUAACAAACUACAAAACAAAUAAAAAAUUUAAGAACAUUUAUUUUAUUUGCUCUGAAGAACUGCUUGUGAUUUUCUGUGUUAUUUUUCAUAUGUCUUUUUCCUCAUCAAGACGCUAUCUGAUAGAUUGUCUUUUAUAGUGUAAAAUAGAUAAUUAACCAGAACCAGUAAUGUUCACCUUUCUGAGGACUAAAUUUUAUGUCCCUGAAGGACCAUGAAAAUACACACUUAACUUCAGUAGCACAGGAAUGAGAACUACAUAAAUACUUUUUGUCUUACUUCAUGGUUCUUUAAUUCCAUAUUGUUGUGCAUAUUUAAGCAUGAGAGACGUGUGUUUUUUUACUUGUCUAUAUUUGUAAUUUAUGCCUUCACAUAAAGACAGUACAGGUUUUCUCCUGAGCCUAUAGGCAUUGAACUACUCAAUUUGUAGACUUACUGAACAGCUACACUAUUUUUUAUUCCACACUAACAGUUGUCUACAUUUUCAGAAGCUGAUUUGUUAGUUAUUAACUUUUUCCAGGAGAAGACACAAAGACUGAGUUUCAAAAGACAAAAAAAUAUGUAUAUAUUUUUCCAUUUUGUGUUUGAAAAUAUUUUGCAUGUAAUAAUUUUCUCUGCUUUGUUAAUUACAGCUCACAUCCAUAAAGGUUCUCAGUAAUGAAUGACCUUGGGUUUAUGCAGCAUAUCUCUGACUGUCAAUAGACAAAAAUUUACACAUCGACAAACAUCUUUGUAUUUUUGCAGCUGUUUAGGUAUCCUUUGGAUGUUUGUAUAGGUGCUUUUACAGGAGCUGGAGAAAGGAAAAAAGUCUGAUAAGAAUGAACAAACAGGAAAAUGUGAUUAUACUCAUAAUACCUACAGAACUUCCUCUCAGACCCAUUAUGUAACCUGUGCAGGAUAAUUCCAGCCGUUGCGUGGGGGACAGUCUUUCAUUUCAAGCUGGGGCAAUUUUUCUUGCUGUUUACCCUGAAACUGUUAAACAAAUAUUUAAUCACAGUAUUGAAGAGUAUAUCUUCUACAUUAAUUUCAAUAGAUUAACUACUCAGUUUGUGACUGCUAGUUGCAGUGACUUAAUAUAAGAUACCUACCUAUGCCUUGUAUUUAAAUUAAGGAUAUUUCUGUCAAAUACAGGUAACAGGUAUUCAUGUAAAUUAAAUUUUAUAUAUCUGUAAGAUCAAUAUAUAUAUAUAUAUAUGGGUAAUAUGUAUUACUCAGCAAGGCUCAUUAUCUGCCUUUAAAAUAGGAAAUUGUAUCCUUGCUUAAUAGAAUAAUUCAAAUGUAAAAAGAGUAUCUGCUUCUAGAUGCAGCUUUAAUAAAGAUAACAAAUAGCUAUAUACUAGUCUUUUCAAAGAGUAUUUAUAUCAUACAGCUAAUAAAAUAACACAGCAGUGGAAAGUAUUUAUCUUUUAGUUCCAAAUUUUCACUUCAAUUUCCAGUUACCAAAAAAUUGUAAUCAGCUCUUUUGACCUGAUAUUUUUAAAAGAAUGUCUUCAUGAACAUUGCUGUUGAAAACUGGAAAAAAAAAAAAAUCGGGAAAGGAAGAAGUUCUAGUUCAUGCAAGAUAUAUGAAUUUAGUCAUUAUAUAGCUAGAUCUAAUUUCAUGGACAUCAGAUCUGCAUAAAGCCAGUAAUUUUUUAAAAAGGGCUGCUCACAUGGUGCUGACAAAAUGUGUGUAUACAUUUACUGACUGUAUUAAAAACAGUAUUUGCAUGUAAGGCAUACGAAAUAUAUUUGCAAAAUGGGUAACGGUGUCUGAGGUCAUAUUUGCACAUCUAAAGUAUCCAUUCUGUAUAUGGAGAUUUCUACUUCCUUAUGGAAUAUGUACUGACAUGAAACAAGUUUCUUAAGUAUUACACUGGGUUAGUUUAGGUGUCCUGUUCAUCUGCCUACAGCUCAGUUCCUGUAGGUUCUCCAUCCCAGGUUACAUUUUUCAGUUGUGAAAUCUUUGUAAAUUAGAAAGAGGAAAAGCUAACAUCCACUGUGCUAAAGGGAACUUUUAGCUAUUUUUGUUGUGGGAUAUAUGGAGGUAGGUAUGCUUAACUCAGACACACUGUAUUAAUCACAGAAGUUACUAAGUGAAAUUCUAUGGCCUGCAUUACAUAGUUGCCCAGCCUGUUAACCUUUCUGACUCUAUAAUUUUUUAAUCCACAAAUACAGUUUUUAAAUAGCCCAUUUGUUAUUGUUUCUGUUCUAGUUACUGCUUAUGAUAGUAUUAACUUGUAUAAAAGCUAUUGGUUUAAGCUAUUUGAAUGUCUAUUAUGGAGUUUGAAAUAAGUUCCACAGUCAGACACUGAAGAACAGGAACAUAAAUAUUCCACCGGUUUACUGUGUAUUCCAGAGUAUAUAUAGCUUAUACUCAUUCCUGAGUAUACAUUGUAUACUGGUAUAUACUUAUUCUAGAGUAUUCCAUAGCCUAUACAAAGUGCAAAGUAUGUAUAAUUCUAAUAGCUCAUUCCAGAGUAGCAUAAAUACAAUGACAAAGCAUUUUCUGUUUCCGAUGGAUUUUAGCCACUGGUGGAUAAAAUGCUAAAAAAGUGUCAAAAAGAUGUUAAUAGCUGUCAUCCCAUUGUUCUGUUUAAGUCAGAGGUAUCUGAGAAUCUAAUAGUAAUAGUGAAAUCACUGGUGAAGCUAAUUACUUUAAAAGGGGCAGAAGUCUAAUAUAUAUAUUCUUCAAUAUGACAUUUUUGAUGAUUAGAAGGAUGGAAUGCUCAAACAGCAUCCGAGGUACCACAUCUGCUACAUAAGCACAAUUAUUUUAGCAGGAGUUAGCAGUUAGUAAUAAAUAAUAUUAAUUAAAUUAGACGUUUAAAUUGUAACUUAUACACACUGAUUAUAUUUAACCAAAGAUUUUGGUAAGAUGUGCUGGUAUUUAGUUAGUUUAUCUGCUGCUUUUGCAGUCUCCUCUGAAUGUCUUUAAAACUUUAAUUGACUAAGUGCAGUUUGCAAGGAUAUCCGUAUCCUUGUAUUCAGCAAUUAUACAUUGAUUUUUCUAUCUGUAUAUAUUUAGAAACGUGAAGGUGAAAACACUUAGAGAAUAUGCCAGUCAGAUUACAUAACAGGAAGACACAAAACUUUAUAUUCUGAAAAUGUUACCAUUGCAAACGGCAGUACAUGCAUAGCAUUUGCAUUGCAACAGGAGCAGAGACUCAGACAGCAAGCAGGGGGAGGCUAAAUGUUAGAAUUCUUAUAUUCCAACUAAUUAGAAUUUGCAGUGUACAAAGUUAGGAGGAGUUUGUAAAACCAGGACCCUCCUUAACACACUGUGGUGGUUUUACUCAUCUGGGCAGCCAAGCUCCACCACAACCGCUCUCUCACUCCCCCUUCUCAAAGGGAAAGGGAAGAAAAUAGGAUGCA
Molecule: non-coding RNA, 5904 nt
Organism: Anas platyrhynchos (mallard)
Lineage: Eukaryota; Metazoa; Chordata; Aves; Anseriformes; Anatidae
Source: RefSeq, a predicted model, not a curated record